GGGCAACAUGGGGAAACGCCGUCUAUACUAAAAAUACAAAAAUUAGCUGGGCGUGGUGGCGCACGCCUUUAACCCCAGCUACUUGGUGAGGCUGAGGCAGGAGAAUCGCUUGAUCCGGGGAGACGGAGGUUGCAGUGAGCCGAGAUUGUGUCACUGCACUCCAGCCUGGGUGACAGAGUGACACUCCAUCUCAAAAAAAAAAAUUUUGAAACGGCCGCACCCUCGCCGGCCCUGCGUCGUCCCCGAAAACCAGACGCCCUGGGGCGCGGGGCCAAGUGCGGCGACCUCCUGCCCUCCCUCUGCGGCUCCCUGGAAACCGGCCUGGACAACGGCACCUGGGCAUCCAUGCAACGGGACCACCGCCCGCUUAAAUUCCUGUUGUGGAACAAGGCUGGACGGUGAUGGGAAUGCUCAGGAUAUGUUAGGUUUUCUUUUUUUUUUGAGACGGAGUCUCGCUCUGUCGCCCAGGCUGGAGUGCAGUGGUGCGAUCUCGGCUCACUGCAAGCUCCGCCUCCCGGGUUCACGCCAUUCUCCUGUCUCAGCCUCCCGAGUAGCUGGGACUACAGGCGCCCGCCACUGCGCCCGUCUUAUUUUUUUGUAUUUUUAGUAGAGACGGGGUUUCACCGUGUUAGCCGGGAUCCAUCUCCUGACUUCGUGAUCCGCCCGCUUCGGCCUCCCAAAGUGCUGAGAUUACAGACGUGAGCCACCGCGCCCUGCCUAUAUUAGGUUUUUAAAUAGCAGGAGGCAAAGCUUUUCGGUGUGAUCCUGACUUCACUUGGGGAAAAAGGGCAGACACAGGGUCUCACUGUGUUGGCCAGGCUGGAGUGCGGCAGUCUGGAACUCCUGGGCCCAAGUGAUCCUCCAAUCAGCCUCACAAAGCACUGGAAUUACAGAUGGAGUUUUGCUCUUGUUGCCCAGGCUGGAGUACAAUGGCGCAAUCUCGGCUCACUGCAACCUCCGCCUCCGGGUUCAAGUGAUUCUCCUGCCUCAGCCUCCUGAGUAGCUGGGAUUACAGGAGCCUACUACCACGGCCAGCUAAUUUUUUUGUAUUUUUAGUAGAGACGGGGCUUUACCAUGUUGGCCAGGCUGGUUUCAAACUCCUGACCUCAGGUGAUCCACCCGCCUCGGCCUCCCAAACUGCUGGGAUUAUAGGCAUGAGCCACCGUGCCCGGCCCAUAGAUUACUUUUAUAAUCAAGUUUUUCUUUACUUUUUAAAGAGUAAAUUCUCUCACCUCAGGUAGCUCAGAGAGCUGCGCUGGAGGAGAAAAGCCAGUCCUGGCAGGAGCUCUGGUACCUGGGAAGCUGGAUGGAGAGCCUGGGCCAGAAUCCCGGACCCCUCACCUCUGCGGCCUAGCUUUGUGACCUUGGCAAAUCCAUUCUAUGCACCUCCAUUUCCUGUACAGUGGGGAUCCUUAUUUCUCUGGCACAGAUUGGUAUUUGUUCUGUAAAGCCCAGUACCACUU
This 1463-nucleotide long non-coding RNA is filed under the name Homo sapiens (human). RNAcentral describes it as "HSALNT0290020". Lineage: Eukaryota; Metazoa; Chordata; Mammalia; Primates; Hominidae. The record is from RNAcentral.